Scylla paramamosain (green mud crab) is the source of this 1660-nucleotide long non-coding RNA. RefSeq lists it as uncharacterized. The transcript is spliced from 4 exons. The record is from RefSeq and is a predicted model, not a curated record. Lineage: Eukaryota; Metazoa; Arthropoda; Malacostraca; Decapoda; Portunidae.
CAAUAGACGUCACUUGAUGGCGCAGUCUCUAUUGCCCGUGUUCUCUGACUACUGUGUGUGCAAAGAGUUUCCGGUGUCGCGCGCUUUAACUCUUUUAACAUUGACGUGAAAUAAUAACACGAACGAGAACGGUGGAUCCUUUAAUUGUCACAUAAGAAAUAGGAAAACCGUGCUUAGUGAAGAGGUUGGCGUGUGUGUUUUUAUGUUGCCCAGCAGGUGUGGUUUGCGGUGCCCUGCUGGUGUGUGGUGUAGCCCAGUAGGCUCUGUCGUAUGUAUCAUGCCUGGUAAAGAAGUACAUAGAGAUAUAAAGAGAUGAAGGAAGUUAAAAGAAUUCAGAAGGCCUUCACGCAGCAGCCCUGGCGGCAGGCAGCGGCGGAGGCUUCAUUGGUGUCAAGAUGUCCUCAAUCUGCUCCUGGGUCAUCCUCUGUCUUAGUCUGAGACCACGUGACGGAAGAUGGUUUAGGAAGCAGCGUAAUCUCUUCUUUCCUUAUGAAGAUUCAGCAGUGGUCGACGGUGAUCAGGAAAUUAGGAAAUCCUCAAGUUUGACGUGAUGGAGAAAACGAGUACUCAUGUUAUAUGAGAUAAUGAUCAAGAGAGAAUAAAAUAAUUUAAAGACAAGUAAUCGAAAUCUAAGUAUUCGAAAAAAAGUGCAAUACUUCAAAGAAACAAUAAAAUAAGUUUGAGAAAAUGAUUGAUCAUGCUGCUUACGAUAAAGAUCCAGAGUGAAUACAUUAAUUUAAAGAUAAAUCAUGGAAAUCCAAUCCUUCAUAAAAGAAAAGAAAUAUAAUGUCGAGAGACAAGAAAAUAAUUAAAUGUGAUGAGGAAAAGGAGUGAUUUUUUUUUUUUUAUGUAUAUAAGACACAAAUCAAGAGUUAGUGUCGUAAUUUGAAGACACAAGACCAAAAACUUCAAUUCUUUAUUCAGAGAUGUGCAACAAAGAAACAAAAUAAAGUUAUAAAAACAACAACAACAACAACGAUAUAAAAAUAGAUUGAGUGAACAAUGUAAUUUGAGGACCAGUGAUCGAAAUUAAAUUCUUUCCAAGGAAAAAAACACUACAAUUCUUUAUUAUCAAGAGGCACAAAAAAAAACAACACCCGUUACUUCUCGAGACCAUAAAAAGUGAUUAAUCGCCUCUAAGAAACCUGACACAAGUGGCCGCAGGAGGAGAAUAGGCGAGUCGUGUGGAGCCUUUGAAAGAAGACCUUGACACCCUCUUGGGAAGUAGGGUGAGGAAAGCCUGUAUUGGAGUGUUGCCUGGAUGUCACCCUACACUCCACCCUGUUCUGCUCUCUGAAUCACACAGAAUUUAAGUGCCAGAAUCCACAAAACCAGGAAGAAUAUUAGCACUCCACCUUGUUCAGUGUUCUCAGAUUCACACUAGGAACGUAACAACCAGAACCCCAUGGAACUAGAGCAAAUAUUACCAUAAUCACCACAGCCUCAGUUUUUCUCUCUGCCACCACCAUCACCACCACAAUUGCCAUCGUCUCUGCUACCACUACCAUCGUCAUCAUCCUCCACCAUCACAUCCUCGCUGUCCUUCGUGUAAGCUCAGUGCGCCGCCACCACCACCACCACCACCACCACCACCACCACCACCACCACCACAUCCUCACACCCUUUACCUUUAAGUCCAUUACGGGAGCUCACCAGGAUC